GACGAACGCUGGCGGCGUGCUUAACACAUGCAAGUCGAACGGAAAGGCCCUGCUUUUGUUGGGUGCUCGAGUGGCGAACGGGUGAGUAACACGUGUGUAACCUGCCCUUGAAUUUGGGAUAACAUCAGGAAACUGGGGCUAAUACCGGAUAGGAGCUCCUGCUGCAUGGUGGUGGUUGGUAAGUUUCGGCGGUUGGGGCUGGACUGGCGGCUUAUCAGCUUGUUGGUGGGGUAGUGGCUUACCAAGGUUUUGAAGGGUAGGCGGCCUGGGAGGUUGGCCGGCCACAUUGGGACUGAGGUACGGCCCAGACUCCUACGGGAGGCAGCAGUCGGGAAUAUUACACAAUGGGCGCAAACCUGAUGCAGAGACGUCGCGUGCGGGAUGACGGCCUUCGGGUUGUAAACCGCUUUCGCAUGUGACGAAGCGUGAGUGACGGUAAUGAGUAAAGAAGCACCGGCUAACUACGUG
RNAcentral lists this ribosomal RNA (468 nucleotides) under uncultured bacterium. Its description in RNAcentral is "partial 16S ribosomal RNA". It matches the Rfam family "Bacterial small subunit ribosomal RNA", at positions 28 to 507 of the family's 1533-position model. The record is from RNAcentral.